CACAAUGGAGGAAACUCUAAUGCAGCGACGCCGCGUGAGAGAAGAAGCCUUUCGGGGUGUAAAGCUCUUACGCCAGGGACGAUAAUGACGGUACCUGGAGAAGCAGCUGCGGCUAACUACGUGCCAGCAGCCGCGGUAAUACGUAGGCAGCAAGCGUUGUUCGGAAUUACUGGGCGUAAAGGGUGCGUAGGCGGCGCUCUAAGUUUGGUGUGAAAUCUCCCGGCUUAACUGGGAGGGUGCACUGAAAACUGGGGCGCUCGUGUAUGGGAGAGGAAAGCGGAAUUCCUGGUGUAGCAGUUAGAUGCGUAGAGAUCAGGAGGAACACCUGCGGUGCAGACGGCUUUCUGGACCAUCACUGACGCUGAGGCACGAAAGCGUGGG
Molecule: ribosomal RNA, 381 nt
Filed under: uncultured bacterium
Lineage: Bacteria
Description: bacterial SSU rRNA
Rfam family: Bacterial small subunit ribosomal RNA
Source: RNAcentral